GGAGAACAGCCCUGCUGCGAAGUCAGGGAGAGGCAGGCCAAUAAUGGACCCUUUUGCGUUGCUCCAUCCUUUAUGAGUUUAGGUGCAUGGCGAAGACUUUCCUCUUCACACAGGCAUUUGGUUACAUGGAAGUCAAACCAAAACCUGGAUUUGGGUGUGCCCAUGAAUGCCGAGAACUGCUUUGCCUGACACAACAGUGACUGGGAGAUUACUGUAAUACUAUAAGUUUGGCAAAAACAACAACAACAACCCUUAUCUGAUUAUUUUCUCCUGAUCUCAGUAGCCCUGAGUAGCCCACUGAGCCUAAAAAGGGUCAACCACAAAUAUUAUUUGGCAGCUAUGCUGAAUUUGUGAGCCAGCACAGCAAGAACUUUCUCGAAUCAUCCAGGAGUCUGAGUUUUGUGACACAUCGUUCACAGGAGCUCACUAUUUAUG
This is a long non-coding RNA of Sphaerodactylus townsendi, 435 nucleotides long. RefSeq lists it as uncharacterized. The record is from RefSeq and is a predicted model, not a curated record. NCBI's taxonomy places the organism in Eukaryota, Metazoa, Chordata, Lepidosauria, Squamata, Sphaerodactylidae. The transcript is spliced from 3 exons.